This 999-nucleotide ribosomal RNA is filed under the name Triticum aestivum (bread wheat). RNAcentral describes it as "partial small subunit ribosomal RNA". Lineage: Eukaryota; Viridiplantae; Streptophyta; Magnoliopsida; Poales; Poaceae. The record is from RNAcentral.
AUGCCUCCCCCGCCGCAGUCCAUCGCCGGCAAGGUCAGCCGCUUCUUCAGCUUCGCGGCGGCGCGGGACCGCUGCUUCAACCGCCGCUUCCUCGCCGCCGGCCUCCGCCCGGUCUCCAUCCAGCUCCCCGACUCGGCGCGCCCGGUCUCCAUCUCCGACUCGGCGGACCCCGUCACCACCGUCCACAUGUGGGUCCCCGCCAGGCCGCCACGCAACCCCCUGGUCCUCCUCCACGGCUUCGGCGCCUCCGCCACGUGGCAGUGGUACCCCUACCUCCGCCCCCUCAUCGCCGCCGGCUUCGACCCCAUCGUCCCCGACCUCGUCUUCUUCGGCAACUCCUCCACCCGCCUCCCCGAUCGCUCCGACACAUUCCAGGCGUGGUCGAUCAAGACGGCGCUGGAGGCGAUCGGGGUGACCAAGUUUGGGCUGGUUGGGGUGAGUUAUGGAGGGUUCGUGGGGUACAGGAUGGCGGCGAUGUACCCGGACGCGGUGGAGAGGGUGACUCUGGUGUGCGCCGGCGUUUGCCUGGAGGAGAAGGACCUCGCGGAGGGUCUGUUCCCGGUGGCCGCGGUCGAUGAGGCGGCAGCGCUGCUGGUGCCACGGCGGCCGGAGGAGGUGCGGCGCCUGGUCAGGCUCACAUUCGUGCGACCGCCGAUCAUCAUGCCGUCGUGCUUCCUUUGGGACUACAUUAAGGUGAUGGGCUCAGACCAUAUCCAGGAGAAGACUGAGCUACUACACGCUUUGAUUAGUGGGAGGCAAAUUUCGACUCUUCCAAAACUACGUCAGAAGACGCUGAUAAUUUGGGGGGAGCAAGAUAAGGUGUUCCCGAUGGAAUUGGCUCACAGAUUGAAGAGGCAUCUGGAUGGGAACUCUCGGUUGGCAGUCAUACACAACGCUGGGCACGCAGUCAAUCUCGAGAAGCCUGCAGAGGUGUGCAAGAGCAUCAUCGAGUUUUUCCAAGAGCCGAUCCCCGAAGCUUCAAACGACGAAAGGGUGUAG